AAAUUCAUUUGGGUUCAGCACUUAUUUGUUCGGUAAUUUUCAUUGUCUUGUAGAGAGUAUAAAUACUGGCAACAUAUCUAGAAUUGGUCAGAUUCAUCACUAAUUUAUUGCGAAUUAAUUUCUUCUCCUUUUCUCGGUUGAUUCGCUAGAAGUUUAACCUCAUCGAGCAUCAUGAAGACGUUCCAGCUUUCUGUUAUUCUCUUCGUAUCCAUCUGCCUCCUGAUAAGCACAGGACAAUCUGAAGCACGCCGCCAUGGUCUGUCUAAGGAUAAUAUGGCAAAAGAGAAUUCUCUGCAUCCUCGUGAGAAGCGAUCUUCAUCUUCAUCUUCAUCUUCAUCUUCUUCUUCUUCAUCAUCUUCAGAAUCUGAUUCUGAUUCAGCAGAGGUAACGACCGCCGCUCCCGCUCCUUAGUACUGAUGACAGUGCAGACAGUGAUACUAGCGAUUAGCCAUCAUCUUGGUUCAAGGCAACUGCGGUGACUCAAUGGAUCCUUGAGGAACUCAAUCUUAAAAGGCUCUUAACGGCUCAUGUUAACUAUAUAACAUGCCCCUCUCACUUUUAAUAGCCCCCCCCCCCUCCCCUCUAAAGUGACACUACUCACGAGACAAAGCUCCUGCAUGGAUUCACAUCCGGGAUAGUUGUUUGAUCAUGUGGUUCACCCUUUUGACUCUUGGGUCGUAUUGACCCGGAACCGGUCCGAUGUGACCUCUUCAUGGUCAGAUCUUACCUUUUCCAUGUCACAUAGACAAUUUUUCAUGUCAUUUUCAAGAAAAUAUUGUUAAAAUAUCCAAAAUAAAAAAUUUGUCAACUUCCUAAUCCUCUUUUGGAAUCAGACGACUAGUCAGACAAUGCUUGCAUAAAAUUAGCCUUAUUCCCCAUCAUUCAUCUUCAUAAUUAUACGCAAUGAGUAUAUUUUUAAUUAGUUUCAUUUUGUUAACGAAAUAUGCCGUAUUCAUUCUUUUCUUUGGAGGGAGUUAGGGAGGGACUUUCUUUAUCUUUCUCUCCCUCUAUCUCUCUAUUCUCUCUCUCUCUUUGCUGUUGGUUUUUUUCUUUAUCCUGUAUUCCAAGACACAUAUUAAGAACCGUAUUAAGAUUAAAUUGAAGUUCAAACA
Lytechinus pictus (painted urchin) is the source of this 1112-nucleotide long non-coding RNA. RefSeq lists it as uncharacterized. The transcript is spliced from 3 exons. NCBI's taxonomy places the organism in Eukaryota, Metazoa, Echinodermata, Echinoidea, Temnopleuroida, Toxopneustidae. The record is from RefSeq and is a predicted model, not a curated record.